ACACAAAAUCACAUUGGUGGAAGGCGUGGUAAAGAAACAAAAUCGAUGCUUCGAAAAUGUUACUUACAAAAGCAUUUUGGAGUUUCGAUUUUUUUUUUUUUUGCACGACUUCCACCAAUGUGAUUUCGCGC
Molecule: microRNA precursor, 131 nt
Filed under: Triticum aestivum (bread wheat)
Lineage: Eukaryota; Viridiplantae; Streptophyta; Magnoliopsida; Poales; Poaceae
Description: miR5086 stem-loop (tae-MIR5086)
Source: miRBase by way of RNAcentral